This 497-nucleotide ribosomal RNA is filed under the name uncultured bacterium. RNAcentral describes it as "partial 16S ribosomal RNA". It matches the Rfam family "Bacterial small subunit ribosomal RNA", at positions 28 to 507 of the family's 1533-position model. The record is from RNAcentral.
GAUGAACGCUGGCGGCGUGCCUAAUACAUGCAAGUCGAGCGAACAGACGAGGAGCUUGCUCCUCUGACGUUAGCGGCGGACGGGCGAGUAACACGUGGAUAACCUACCUAUAAGACUGGGAUAACUUCGGGAAACCGGAGCUAGUACCGGAUAAUAUAUUGAACCGCAUGGUUCAAUAGUGAAAGACGGUUUUGCUGUCACUUAUAGAUGGAUCCGCGCCGCAUUAGCUAGUUGGUAAGGUAACGGCUUACCAAGGCAACGAUGCGUAGCCGACCUGAGAGGGUGAUCGGCCACACUGGAACUGAGACACGGUCCAGACUCCUACGGGAGGCAGCAGUAGGGAAUCUUCCGCAAUGGGCGAAAGCCUGACGGAGCAACGCCGCGUGAGUGAUGAAGGUCUUCGGAUUGUAAAACUCUGUUAUUAGGGAAGAACAAAUGUGUAAGUAACUAUGCACGUCUUGACGGUACCUAAUCAGAAAGCCACGGCUAACUACGUG